Phrynosoma platyrhinos (Desert horned lizard) is the source of this 74-nucleotide non-coding RNA. NCBI's taxonomy places the organism in Eukaryota, Metazoa, Chordata, Lepidosauria, Squamata, Phrynosomatidae. The record is from the annotation of a GenBank genome assembly.
AUCAGUAUGGUACAGUGGUUUGAAUUUUGGACUAGAAAUCCAGGAGACCAGGUUUCAAAUCCCUGCUCAGCAUG